Molecule: transfer RNA, 74 nt
Filed under: Gammaproteobacteria bacterium
Lineage: Bacteria; Pseudomonadati; Pseudomonadota; Gammaproteobacteria
Also listed under: 1 other name
Description: tRNA-Asp
Rfam family: tRNA
About the family: Transfer RNA (tRNA) molecules are approximately 80 nucleotides in length. Their secondary structure includes four short double-helical elements and three loops (D, anti-codon, and T loops).
Source: RNAcentral
GGAGCGGUAGUUCAGUUGGUUAGAAUACCGGCCUGUCACGCCGGGGGUCGCGGGUUCGAGUCGCGUCCACUCCG